UGGAUCACCUCCUAACAGGGAUACAAUACGCGAUUGUGAUGUCUGAGUAAUUUAUUCUCAGACCAUAAUCCUGUCAUCUCUAAGGUCGAUCGGUACCUCAAUGGAGACAUUAGAAAGCAAACAAGUCGUAAGGUGAGUGAGCUUGUCUAAUUUAUCUUUUCAGUUCCUAAACUUUGUCUAGGUCACCCCAACAACGGGUAAACGAGCUCCUGGGCCAUUAGCUCAGGUGGUUAGAGCGCACCCCUGAUAAGGGUGAGGUCCCUGGUUCAAGUCCAGGAUGGCCCAUUCGUGUUUGGGGGUUUAGCUCAGUUGGUAGAGCGCCUGCUUUGCAAGCAGGAUGUCAGCGGUUCGAGUCCGCUAACCUCCAUCCAACGCUGACCCUUGAUUGCGAAAGUUCCACAGGAGAACCAGCAAGGGUGAACUAGACGGUACAAGCUGAGCGAAACAGACUCCAGCCUCAUUGUAUGCCAACCUAUUAACGUUCGUCCUUUAUGGAUUAAGGUUAAUCAGGGCGGUUACAGUGAUGCUGGACUCAGCACUUUCUGGCAACAGGAAGUGAUGACGUUCAAGCAAGAACCUUGACAACUGCAUAGGUGAAGUCUGGAAAUAAAGCAUCUCAUGGAUGCUUGAUUCUAGCGUUUUAGUCAGAGACGACUGAGUAAUCGGUAAUCUUCGGCUAAGGCAAAAGAAUCAAGAAAAUUCUUGAGUUUAGAGCCGAGAGCUUCCAGUGUUCUUAGCCACCGCCGAGGUGUGCUGAGUUUGAUCCUUGAUUCAAACCGUUACUAUCAGUGAAUGCUGAAGGUAAAUGGUGAAUCAUGAGAGAAUAGGUUUCAACAACCUGAAGCAUUGG
This 850-nucleotide transfer RNA is filed under the name uncultured cyanobacterium. RNAcentral describes it as "partial contains 16S ribosomal RNA and 16S-23S ribosomal RNA intergenic spacer". The stretch from base 295 to 367 matches the Rfam family "tRNA". The record is from RNAcentral. Lineage: Bacteria; Bacillati; Cyanobacteriota.